Molecule: ribosomal RNA, 292 nt
Filed under: uncultured bacterium
Lineage: Bacteria
Description: partial 16S ribosomal RNA
Rfam family: Bacterial small subunit ribosomal RNA
Source: RNAcentral
GUGCCAGCCGCCGCGGUAAUACGGAGGGUGCGAGCGUUGUUCGGAAUUAUUGGGCGUAAAGCGCGUGUAGGCGGUUUUCUAAGUCUGAUGUGAAAGCCCCGGGCUCAACCUGGGAAGUGCAUUGGAAACUGGGGAACUUGAAUACGGGAGAGGGCAGUGGAAUUCCUAGUGUAGGAGUGAAAUCCGUAGAUAUUAGGAGGAACACCGGUGGCGAAGGCGGCUGCCUGGACCGAUAUUGACGCUGAGACGCGAAAGCGUGGGGAGCAAACAGGAUUAGAAACCCGGGUAGUCC